GAAGAUUUCAUGACUAUACAAAGGGAAGAUAUAUCCGGUGUGGCAGAGGAAGAUAAUGAACAGAUUCACACGAAAACAACAACAACAACAACAACAACAACAACAACAACAACAACAACAACAACAACAACAACCUAGUAUAAUCCCACUUAGUGGGGUUUGGAGAGGGUAGUGUGUACGCCUACCCUGGGAUAGAGAGACUGUUUCCAAAUAGACCUCCAACAUCCUUCCCUCCAAGAACUUCCCACCUUGCUCUUGGGGAGACUCGAACUCACAACCUCGGUUAAAAAUAGGAGUUGCUUACCAUCAGAGCAACCCCUCUUGUCUCAAUGAUCUCUAUAUGCCUAUCGGUUGGAAGUGGAGGUUGCUUACCAUCAGAGCAACCCCUCUUAUCCCAGAUUCACACGAAAACCUUGAGGGAAAACAGAAGGAAGUGUUGAUUAUUCGCAAAUUUGCGAAUAAUCAACACAAGAUGCACAACCAUCUAUUUGUAUUUCCAAACUGUCGAAGCAUCCCAUAUUUGCACACAAAGUGGGAUGAACGGAGCAAGGAAAUCCGAAGAAGAAUUCGACUAUUUUGCCAGAAAGAGAGAGAAAGAGACAGAGAAAGAGCAAGAGAUUGAAAAUGAAAGAGAAAGUGGGGUGGAGAGAAAGUCUGAAAAAGAAUUUGGGAAUGGAAAAGUUUUCUCUGCAUAAAGAAAAAGAGUGGGGGCGGCGAGGGUUAAUCAGUGAAAAAAGAAUUUCAACAGUAUAAAACUAGG
This 760-nucleotide long non-coding RNA is filed under the name Nicotiana benthamiana. RNAcentral describes it as "long non-coding RNA (NBEN_LNC020186)". The record is from RNAcentral. Lineage: Eukaryota; Viridiplantae; Streptophyta; Magnoliopsida; Solanales; Solanaceae.